UGCAACUAUUUUUAGGCCUUGUUUCAAUAAAGUUUAUUUCAAUACAACUAAUUUUCCGAAUUUUCAUCCAGGUGUUUUUUCAUUGGCAUGUUUGUCGUGACCUAGGUGCCUCAAUAAUGUUGGCAUAACAUUGGCAGAAUAACCAAUUUAAGUCUGGUUCCAUUAUCUUCAUCUGGUCUGGGCAGGAGUAAAAUCGGGUACUGCAUGGGCACUGCCUCUUUUUGGAGCACUCUCAGGAAGAGCUUAGCAGUCUAACUCCUGUGCACUAAUGUCCUAUCACAGCUGGCACCAUUUGAAAAGUGAGUUUCCUUCAGGUUCUCCAAUUUUUUGCCUGUGAGUCUCUUAAAGUUAAUAUGAUUUCUCCAUUUAUGGGUCCUAGGA
Molecule: long non-coding RNA, 381 nt
Filed under: Phascolarctos cinereus (koala)
Lineage: Eukaryota; Metazoa; Chordata; Mammalia; Diprotodontia; Phascolarctidae
Description: lncRNA (ENSPCIG00000012469.2)
Source: RNAcentral